UACGUAGGGGGCUAGCGUUGUCCGGAAUCAUUGGGCGUAAAGAGCGUGUAGGCGGUCCGGUAAGUCCGCUGUGAAAGUCGGGGGCUCAACCCUCGAAUGCCGGUGGAUACUGUCGGGCUAGAGUGCGGAAGAGGCGAGUGGAAUUCCUGGUGUAGCGGUGAAAUGCGUAGAUAUCAGGAGGAACACCGGUGGCGAAGGCGGCUCUCUGGACGGUGACUGACGCUGAGACGCGAAAGCGUGGGGAGCAAACAGG
This 253-nucleotide ribosomal RNA is filed under the name uncultured bacterium. Its description in RNAcentral is "partial 16S ribosomal RNA". It matches the Rfam family "Bacterial small subunit ribosomal RNA", at positions 524 to 776 of the family's 1533-position model. The record is from RNAcentral.